RNAcentral lists this unclassified non-coding RNA (354 nucleotides) under uncultured fungus. RNAcentral's name for it is "sequence contains ITS1". The stretch from base 1 to 105 matches the Rfam family "5.8S ribosomal RNA", at positions 50 to 154 of the family's 154-position model. The record is from RNAcentral. Lineage: Eukaryota; Fungi.
GAAGUGCGAUAAGCAAUGCGAAUUGCAGAAUUCCGCGAAUCAUCAGAUCUUUGAACGCAAAUGGCGCCGGAGGGAUAUCCUUCUGGCAUGUCUAUUUCAGUGUCUGAGAGGUUUCACCUAAAUCUUAAUGUGAUUGACUUGAGGUUGUGUUUGAUAUCUCUUGUAGAUCCCAAAUCUAUCUCUGUCUCUCAUGAAAGAUGCGCGAGAGGAUCUUUUGGUCCAAUGAAGUGGUCACAUCACUCGUAUGUGAUUUCAUUGGAAGCACCAAAUUAUUCGUAUUCUCGUGAACUCACAAACUAAAAAACCAAUCUACACCCUGCAUCUGAGAUAGGCAAGAUCACCCGCUGAACUUAA